RNAcentral lists this ribosomal RNA (253 nucleotides) under uncultured bacterium. RNAcentral describes it as "partial 16S ribosomal RNA". It matches the Rfam family "Bacterial small subunit ribosomal RNA", at positions 524 to 776 of the family's 1533-position model. The record is from RNAcentral.
UACGAAGGGGGCUAGCGUUGUUCGGAAUUACUGGGCGUAAAGGGUGUGUAGGUGGUUCAGCAAGUUAGAAGUGAAAUCCCUGGGCUCAACCCAGGAAUUGCUUUUGAGACUGUUGGACUUGAGUACAGGAGAGGUGAGUGGAAUUCCCAGUGUAGAGGUAAAAUUCGUAGAUAUUGGGAGGAACACCAGUGGCGAAGGCGGCUCACUGGCCUGUAACUGACACUGAGACACGAAAGCGUGGGGAGCAAACAGG